Molecule: ribosomal RNA, 907 nt
Filed under: human gut metagenome
Description: bacterial SSU rRNA
Rfam family: Bacterial small subunit ribosomal RNA
Source: RNAcentral
CGCGGACGGCACAUGAUACUGCGAGACUAGAGUAAUGGAGGGGGAACCGGAAUUCUCGGUGUAGCAGUGAAAUGCGUAGAUAUCGAGAGGAACACUCGUGGCGAAGGCGGGUUCCUGGACAUUAACUGACGCUGAGGCACGAAGGCCAGGGGAGCGAAAGGGAUUAGAUACCCCUGUAGUCCUGGCAGUAAACGGUGCACGCUUGGUGUGCGGGGAAUCGACCCCCUGCGUGCCGGAGCUAACGCGUUAAGCGUGCCGCCUGGGGAGUACGGUCGCAAGAUUAAAACUCAAAGAAAUUGACGGGGACCCGCACAAGCGGUGGAGUAUGUGGCUUAAUUCGAUGCAACGCGAAGAACCUUACCUGGGCUUGACAUGUAAUGAACAACAUGUGAAAGCAUGCGACUCUUCGGAGGCGUUACACAGGUGCUGCAUGGCCGUCGUCAGCUCGUGUCGUGAGAUGUUUGGUUAAGUCCAGCAACGAGCGCAACCCCUGUUGCCAGUUACCAGCACGUGAAGGUGGGGACUCUGGCGAGACUGCCCAGAUCAACUGGGAGGAAGGUGGGGACGACGUCAGGUCAGUAUGGCCCUUAUGCCCAGGGCUGCACACGUACUACAAUGCCCAGUACAGAGGGGGCCGAAGCCGCGAGGCGGAGGAAAUCCUAAAAACUGGGCCCAGUUCGGACUGUAGGCUGCAACCCGCCUACACGAAGCCGGAAUCGCUAGUAAUGGCGCAUCAGCUACGGCGCCGUGAAUACGUUCCCGGGUCUUGUACACACCGCCCGUCACAUCAUGGAAGCCGGUCGCACCCGAAGUAUCUGAAGCCAACCGCAAGGAGGCAGGGUCCUAAGGUGAGACUGGUAACUGGGAUGAAGUCGUAACAAGGUAGCCGUAGGAGAACCUGCGGCUG